GUUCUCAUGAGGAGAACUUAUGCAGUACCCACUGCGUAGCGACUAGAACUCGCAUAUAACAUUAAGGAAAAACAAAUG
RNAcentral lists this non-coding RNA (78 nucleotides) under unclassified sequences. RNAcentral's name for it is "freshwater-2 RNA". It matches the Rfam family "freshwater-2 RNA". From Rfam's summary of the family: Aquatic, esp. fresh water. The record is from RNAcentral.